GAUGAACGCUGACAGAAUGCUUAACACAUGCAAGUCGACUGGAAUUCACCUUCGGGUGAUAGUACGGUGGCGGACGGGUGAGUAACGACGUAAAGAACUUCGCCCUCUAGACGUGGGACAACUGUUAGGAAACGACAGCUAAUACCGGAUAUUAUGAGAUUCUCGCAGUAGGGAAACUUAUAGAAAGGCUAUAUGCGCUAGAGGAGAGUCUUUGCGUGCC
Molecule: ribosomal RNA, 220 nt
Filed under: uncultured bacterium
Lineage: Bacteria
Description: partial 16S ribosomal RNA
Rfam family: Bacterial small subunit ribosomal RNA
Source: RNAcentral